AAAAAGGCUCUUUUCAGAGCCACCACUGUCUCCGAGAAAGAGCUG
Ailuropoda melanoleuca (giant panda) is the source of this 45-nucleotide non-coding RNA. The record is from Rfam. Lineage: Eukaryota; Metazoa; Chordata; Mammalia; Carnivora; Ursidae.